CUAAAACUGCAAAAAAGGGCAGCAAGAAUAAUUUUAGACGAACAUGAUUACACCAAACCUUCAAGAGAAUUAUUUCACGAAUGUAACAUUGUGCCAAUCACACAAAGAAUACUUUAUCACAAAUCAUUACUAAUGUAUAAGGCAAAACAUGGCUUAGCUCCAGAAUAUAUGUCCAGUCUCAUUGUAUCAGCUUCUGCAAACCAAAAAUAUAAUACGAGAUUUUCAUCCUCAGAUAAUUUUAUUAUUCCAAAACCAAAUACAGAGUUGUAUAAGUCUAGUUUCUCGUACAAUGGAC
RNAcentral lists this long non-coding RNA (295 nucleotides) under Mytilus galloprovincialis (Mediterranean mussel). The record is from RNAcentral. Lineage: Eukaryota; Metazoa; Mollusca; Bivalvia; Mytilida; Mytilidae.